GAUGAACGCUAGCUACAGGCUUAACACAUGCAAGUCGAGGGGCAGCAUGAUUGAAGCUUGCUUCAAUCGAUGGCGACCGGCGCACGGGUGAGUAACACGUAUCCAACCUGCCGAUAACUCGGGGAUAGCCUUUCGAAAGAAAGAUUAAUACCCGAUAGUAUAGUAUUUCCGCAUGGUUUCACUAUUAAAGAACUUCGGUUAUCGAUGGGGAUGCGUUCCAUUAGAUAGUUGGCGGGGUAACGGCCCACCAAGUCAACGAUGGAUAGGGGUUCUGAGAGGAAGGUCCCCCACAUUGGAACUGAGACACGGUCCAAACUCAUACGGGAGGCAGCAGUGAGGAAUAUUGGUCAAUGGACGAGAGUCUGAACCAGCCAAGUAGCGUGAAGGAUGACUGCCCUAUGGGUUGUAAACUUCUUUUAUACGGGAAUAAAGUGGAGUAUGCAUACUCCUUUGUAUGUACCGUAUGAAUAAGAAUCGGCUAACUCCGUG
Molecule: ribosomal RNA, 489 nt
Filed under: uncultured bacterium
Lineage: Bacteria
Description: partial 16S ribosomal RNA
Rfam family: Bacterial small subunit ribosomal RNA
Source: RNAcentral